GACGUAGGGUGCGAGCGUUGUCCGGAUUUACUGGGCGUAAAGGGCGCGUAGGCGGCCUGUUAAGUGUGAAGUGAAAUCUCAGAGCUCAACUCUGAAACUGUUUCGCAUACUGGCAGACUUGAGGGAUGCAGAGGCUUGUGGAAUUCCUGGUGUAGCGGUGAAAUGCAUUGAUAUCAGGAGGAACACCGAUGGCGAAGGCAGCAAGCUGGGCAUUUCCUGACGCUGAGGCGCGAAAGCGUGGGUAGCAAACAGG
RNAcentral lists this unclassified non-coding RNA (253 nucleotides) under uncultured Armatimonadota bacterium. RNAcentral describes it as "uncultured Armatimonadetes bacterium contains 16S-23S intergenic spacer region". It matches the Rfam family "Bacterial small subunit ribosomal RNA", at positions 524 to 776 of the family's 1533-position model. The record is from RNAcentral. Lineage: Bacteria; Bacillati; Armatimonadota.